RNAcentral lists this ribosomal RNA (475 nucleotides) under uncultured bacterium. Its description in RNAcentral is "bacterial SSU rRNA". It matches the Rfam family "Bacterial small subunit ribosomal RNA", at positions 335 to 803 of the family's 1533-position model. The record is from RNAcentral.
ACUCCUACGGGAGGCAGCAGUGGGGAAUAUUGCACAAUGGGCGCAAGCCUGAUGCAGCCAUGCCGCGUGUGUGAAGAAGGCCUUCGGGUUGUAAAGCACUUUCAGUCGUGAGGAAGGUAGUGUAGUUAAUAGCUGCAUUAUUUGACGUUAGCGACAGAAGAAGCACCGGCUAACUCCGUGCCAGCAGCCGCGGUAAUACGGAGGGUGCGAGCGUUAAUCGGAAUUACUGGGCGUAAAGCGCAUGCAGGUGGUUAGUUAAGUCAGAUGUGAAAGCCCGGGGCUCAACCUCGGAAUAGCAUUUGAAACUGGCAGACUAGAGUACUGUAGAGGGGGUAGAAUUUCAGGUGUAGCGGUGAAAUGCGUAGAGAUCUGAAGGAACUACCGGUGGCGAAGGCGGCCCCUGGACAGAUACUGACACUCGAGAUGCGAAAGCGUGGGAGCGAAACAGGAUUAGAUACCCCGUGGUAGCGACUGA